RNAcentral lists this ribosomal RNA (467 nucleotides) under uncultured Glomus. RNAcentral's name for it is "SSU rRNA". It matches the Rfam family "Eukaryotic small subunit ribosomal RNA", at positions 569 to 1041 of the family's 1831-position model. Lineage: Eukaryota; Fungi; Glomeromycota; Glomeromycetes; Glomerales; Glomeraceae. The record is from RNAcentral.
AGCAGCCGCGGUAAUUCCAGCUCCAAUAGCGUAUAUUAAAGUUGUUGCAGUUAAAAAGCUCGUAGUUGAAUUUCGGGAUCAGUAUGUUGGUCGUGCUUCGGUACGUACUGUCAUUACUGGUUUCUACCUUCUGAAGAACCUUGAUGUCAUUAAUUUGGUGUCUUGGGGAAUCAGGACUGUUACUUUGAAAAAAUUAGAGUGUUUAAAGCAAGCAUACGCUUGAAUACAUUAGCAUGGAAUAAUGAAAUAGGACGUUUGAUUCUAUUUUGUUGGUUUCUAGGAUCGACGUAAUGAUUAAUAGGGAUAGUUGGGGGCAUUAGUAUUCAAUUGUCAGAGGUGAAAUUCUUGGAUUUAUUGAAGACUAACUACUGCGAAAGCAUUUGCCAAGGAUGUUUUCAUUAAUCAAGAACGAAAGUUAGGGGAUCGAAGACGAUCAGAUACCGUCGUAGUCUUAACCAUAAACUAUG